GUGUCACUUUUGCUCAGACUACCGUUGGCAGGUCAUGCCGUAGGACCGUUGGACGCACCGGCUGGUUGGGAGCGAGCUCUUACACAACGUUUUCAUGGUGUUUUUCCGGAUGCUCCGGAUCCGGUAUGGGAGCAUCACGGACCUAAGUAUGAGUGGUUGCUAAAUUUCCGGAUCCAGAACUUCCGGGCGCCGUUGACUGCGGAACAGAUCACUCGGAGCCUGGAGGCCUACUUAUUGUGGCUUUUCGGCAAGGUGCUGUUCACAGAGAACCAUGUCACCACUAUUAGCGCCCUCUACAUCCCUAUGGCACUCGAGAUAGCGAGCGCUCAGACGGCGGAUCAGAUCAGACAGAGGAGUUGGGGUUUGGCGGUCUUAGCGGCUACAUACCGAGGUAUGUGCAACGGUUGCCAGCUUACAUCGAGAAAAGACGCUUUG
RNAcentral lists this ribosomal RNA (435 nucleotides) under Triticum aestivum (bread wheat). Its description in RNAcentral is "partial small subunit ribosomal RNA". The record is from RNAcentral. Lineage: Eukaryota; Viridiplantae; Streptophyta; Magnoliopsida; Poales; Poaceae.